Molecule: long non-coding RNA, 228 nt
Organism: Panicum virgatum (switchgrass)
Lineage: Eukaryota; Viridiplantae; Streptophyta; Magnoliopsida; Poales; Poaceae
Exons: 3
Source: RefSeq, a predicted model, not a curated record
AGAUUAGCAUGACGCUGAACAUCUCGACAGACCUUUCAUCUCUGUUCACGUGGAACACAAAACAAGUGUUUGUCUUUGUGGUGGCUGAGUAUGAAACUCCCCAAAUUUCUUUGAAUCAAGUUUCCCUUUGGAUGGAAUUAUACCUGCAAAAGAGCAUACCAAGUUUUUAUCCAUACCACAAAUAGGUACAGAUUUAUUGACCAGGCAAGCACAUUACUUAGAUUGAAU